GGGUUGUGAGGUUAAGCGACUAAGCGUACACGGUGGAUGCCCUGGCAGUCAGAGGCGAUGAAGGGCGUGCUAAUCUGCGAUAAGCGCCGGUAAGGUGAUAUGAACCGUUAUAACCGGCGAUACCCGAAUGGGGAAACCCAGUGUGACUCGUCACACUAUCAUUAACUGAAUCCAUAGGUUAAUGAGGCGAACCGGGGGAACUGAAACAUCUAAGUACCCCGAGGAAAAGAAAUCAACCGAGAUUCCCCCAGUAGCGGCGAGCGAACGGGGAGGAGCCCAGAGCCUGAAUCAGCAUGUGUGUUAGUGGAAGCGUCUGGAAAGGCGCGCGAUACAGGGUGACAGCCCCGUACACAAAAGCGCAUGUGCUGUGAGCUCGAUGAGUAGGGCGGGACACGUGGUAUCCUGUCUGAAUAUGGGGGGACCAUCCUCCAAGGCUAAAUACUCCUGACUGACCGAUAGUGAACCAGUACCGUGAGGGAAAGGCGAAAAGAACCCCGGCGAGGGGAGUGAAAAAGAACCUGAAACCGUGUACGUACAAGCAGUGGGAGCA
This 550-nucleotide ribosomal RNA is filed under the name Salmonella enterica. RNAcentral describes it as "partial 23S ribosomal RNA". It matches the Rfam family "Bacterial large subunit ribosomal RNA", at positions 1 to 581 of the family's 2925-position model. Lineage: Bacteria; Pseudomonadati; Pseudomonadota; Gammaproteobacteria; Enterobacterales; Enterobacteriaceae. The record is from RNAcentral. RNAcentral also lists the same sequence under 4 other names.